GUGCAGCAGGCGCGAAAACUUUACAAUGCGGGAAACCGCGAUAAGGGGACACCGAGUGCCAGCAUAUUAUGUUGGCUGUCCACAUGUGUAAACAGCAUGUGUUAGCAAGGGCCGGGCAAGACCGGUGCCAGCCGCCGCGGUAACACCGGCGGCCCGAGUGGUAAUCACUUUUAUUGGGUCUAAAGGGUCCGUAGCCGGUUUGAUCAGUUCUUCGGGAAAUCUGACAGCUCAACUGUUAGGCUUCCGGGGAAUACUGUCAGACUUGGGACCGGGAGAGGUAAGAGGUACUACAGGGGUAGGAGUGAAAUCUUGUAAUCCCUGUGGGACCACCAGUGGCGAAGGCGUCUUACCAGAACGGGUCCGACGGUGAGGGACGAAAGCUGGGGGCACGAACCGGAUUAGAUACCCCUGUAGU
RNAcentral lists this ribosomal RNA (415 nucleotides) under uncultured microorganism. RNAcentral describes it as "bacterial SSU rRNA". It matches the Rfam family "Archaeal small subunit ribosomal RNA", at positions 330 to 745 of the family's 1478-position model. The record is from RNAcentral.